UACGUAGGUGGCAAGCGUUGUCCGGAUUUACUGGGCGUAAAGAGCGCGCAGGCGGUCGUUCAAGUCGCGUGUGAAAGCCCCCGGCUCAACUGGGGAGGGUCACGCGAUACUGAUCGACUCGAAGGCAGGAGAGGGAAGUGGAAUUCCCGGUGUAGUGGUGAAAUGCGUAGAUAUCGGGAGGAACACCAAUUGCGAAGGCAGCUCGCUGGGACGAUACUGACGCUGAGGCGCGAAAGCGUGGGGAGCAAACAGG
This 253-nucleotide ribosomal RNA is filed under the name uncultured bacterium. RNAcentral's name for it is "partial 16S ribosomal RNA". It matches the Rfam family "Bacterial small subunit ribosomal RNA", at positions 524 to 776 of the family's 1533-position model. The record is from RNAcentral.